UAGGCCGUAACACAGACAGCUAGGCCGUAACACAGACAGCUAGGCCGUAACACAGACAGCUAGGCUGUAACAGCUAGGCUGUAACAGCUAGGCCGUAACACAGACAGCUAGGCUAUAACACAGACAGCUAGGCCGUAACACAGACAGCUAGACUGUAACACAGACAGCUAGGCUGUAACAGCUAGGCUGUAACACAGACAGCUAGGCCGUAACACAGACAGCUAGGCUGUAACAUAGACAGCUAGGCUGUAACACAGACAGCUAGGCUGUAACACAGACAGCUAGGCUGUAACACAGACAGCUAGGCCGUAACACAGACAGCUAGGCUGUAACACAGACAGCUAGGCUGUAACACAGACAGCUAGGCCGUAACACAGACAGCUAGGCCGUAACACAGACAGCUAGGCCGUAACACAGACUAUAUACACAGGGGUAUGAGGUAAUAUCGUGGCUAUACACACAGGGUACCAGUACUGAGUCAUAUACAGGGGUAUGAGGUAAUAUCGUGGCUAUAUACACAGGGUACCAGUACUGAGUUAUAUACAGGGGUAUGAGGUAAUAUCGUGGCUAUACACACAGGGUACCAGUACUGAGUCAUAUACAGGGGUACGAGGUAAUAUCGUGGCUAUACACACAGGGGUAUGAG
Salmo salar (Atlantic salmon) is the source of this 646-nucleotide non-coding RNA. NCBI's taxonomy places the organism in Eukaryota, Metazoa, Chordata, Actinopteri, Salmoniformes, Salmonidae. The record is from RefSeq and is a predicted model, not a curated record.